UACGUAGGGUCCGAGCGUUGUCCGGAAUUAUUGGGCGUAAAGGGCUCGUAGGCGGUUUGUCGCGUCGGGAGUGAGAACCAGGUGCUUAACACCUGGCCUGCUUUCGAUACGGGCAGACUAGAGGCAUUCAGGGGAGAACGGAAUUCCUGGUGUAGCGGUGAAAUGCGCAGAUAUCAGGAGGAACACCGGUGGCGAAGGCGGUUCUCUGGGAAUGUCCUGACGCUGAGGAGCGAAAGUGUGGGGAGCGAACAGG
This 253-nucleotide ribosomal RNA is filed under the name uncultured bacterium. RNAcentral describes it as "partial 16S ribosomal RNA". It matches the Rfam family "Bacterial small subunit ribosomal RNA", at positions 524 to 776 of the family's 1533-position model. The record is from RNAcentral.